UACGGAAGGCAGCAGUGGGGAAUAUUGCACAAUGGGCGCAAGCCUGAUGCAGCCAUGCCGCGUGUAUGAAGAAGGCCUUCGGGUUGUAAAGUACUUUCAGCGGGGAGGAAGGCGAUGUGGUUAAUAACCGCGUCGAUUGACGUUACCCGCAGAAGAAGCACCGGCUAACUCCGUGCCAGCAGCCGCGGUAAUACGGAGGGUGCAAGCGUUAAUCGGAAUUACUGGGCGUAAAGCGCACGCAGGCGGUCUGUUAAGUCAGAUGUGAAAUCCCCGGGCUUAACCUGGGAACUGCAUUUUGAAACUGGCAGGCUUGAGUCUCGUAGAGGGGGUAGAAUUCCAGGUGUAGCGGUGAAAUGCGUAGAGAUCUGGAGGAAUCCGGUGGCGAAGGCGGCCCCUGGGACGAGACUGACGCUCAGGGUGCGAAAGCGUGGGGAGCAAACAGGAUUAGGAUACC
Molecule: ribosomal RNA, 454 nt
Filed under: uncultured bacterium
Lineage: Bacteria
Description: bacterial SSU rRNA
Rfam family: Bacterial small subunit ribosomal RNA
Source: RNAcentral